GAUGAAGAACGUAGUGAAAUGCGAUAAGUAAUGUGAAUUGCAGAAUUCAGUGAAUCAUCGAAUCUUUGAACGCACAUUGCGCCCGCUGGUAUUCCGGCGGGCAUGCCUGUUCGAGCGUCAUUUCAACCCUCAAGCUCUCCGGAGUUUGGUGUUGGGGCGCCUGGGGCUUUUCGACCUCAGGGCCCUCAAGUCCAUCGGCGGGACCGCCAGGACACUGAGCGCAGUAGUAUUAUUUCGCUCGGUAGGAUCUUCCACGGCGGGUCGAUCUGGCCGCUAAACCCCCCAAUUCUCACCAAAGGUUGACCUCGGAUCAGGUAGGAAUACCCGCUGAACUUAAGCAUAUCAAUAAGCGGAGGA
This 357-nucleotide unclassified non-coding RNA is filed under the name soil metagenome. RNAcentral's name for it is "partial contains 5.8S ribosomal RNA, internal transcribed spacer 2, and large subunit ribosomal RNA". The stretch from base 1 to 120 matches the Rfam family "5.8S ribosomal RNA", at positions 35 to 154 of the family's 154-position model. The record is from RNAcentral.